This 598-nucleotide long non-coding RNA is filed under the name Vitis vinifera (wine grape). RNAcentral's name for it is "long non-coding RNA (VVIN_LNC006817)". The record is from RNAcentral. Lineage: Eukaryota; Viridiplantae; Streptophyta; Magnoliopsida; Vitales; Vitaceae.
GAAACCAGAUGAGACCAAAGAUGAUAAGCGACAAAAGUGUGCAUCUAGCAAUGGACCGAACCAGAAGAAUAAAAAAGUGUGGGCUUGUGCUCUAUGCCAGGUCACAACCCAAAGUGAGGCUACCUUGAAUUCCCAUCUUCAAGGAAAGAGACAUCAGGCCACUUCUGAGCAGCUGAAAGCCAAAAACCAGGCAAUCAAAACCAAUGGCUCCCCAUCUGCUUCAAUGGCCAAGAAAUCUGAUGGGUCCACCAAAGAGGAGCAACUGAAGUGUACUUCCAACAAUCUGAAUUCCAAAAACAAUGGCAUCUCAGCUGCUUCAACAGUGAAGAAACCUGAUAAGACCAAAGAGGAUAAGCAACAAAAGUGUGCAUCUAGCAAUGGACCGAACCAGAAGAAUAACAAAAAUUGGGCUUGUGCUCUAUGCCAGGUCACAACCCAAAGUGAGGCUACCUUGAAUUCCCAUCUUCAAGGGAAGAGACAUCAGGCCACUUCUGAGCAGCCGAAAGGCAAAAACAAGGCAACCAAAGCCAGUGGUUCCCCAUCUGCUUCAAUGGCCAAGAAAUCUGAUCAGUCCACCAAAGAGGAGCAACUGAAGUGU